RNAcentral lists this ribosomal RNA (393 nucleotides) under uncultured bacterium. Its description in RNAcentral is "partial 16S ribosomal RNA". It matches the Rfam family "Bacterial small subunit ribosomal RNA", at positions 523 to 918 of the family's 1533-position model. The record is from RNAcentral.
AUACGGAGGAUGCGAGCGUUAUCCGGAUUUAUUGGGUUUAAAGGGUGCGUAGGCUGUGCGUUAAGUCAGGGGUGAAAUGCCGUCGCUCAACGACGGCGCUGCCCUUGAUACUGGCGUGCUGGAGUACGGAUGCCGUUGGAGGAAUGAGUGGUGUAGCGGUGAAAUGCUUAGAUAUCACUCAGAACACCGAUUGCGAAGGCAUCUGACGAAUCCGUCACUGACGCUGAGGCACGAAAGCGUGGGGAUAGAACAGGAUUAGAUACCCUGGUAUUCCACGCCGUAAACGGUGAUGACUAACCGUCGGCGAUAGACAGCCGGUGGCCAAGCGAAAGCGAUAAGUCAUCCACCUGGGGAGUACGUCGGCAACGAUGAAACUCAAAUGAAUUGGCGGGG